AAAGAAACCAACAGGGAUUGCCUCAGUAACGGCGAGUGAAGCGGCAAGAGCUCAAAUUUGAAAGCUGGCCCCUUCGGGGUCCGCAUUGUAAUUUGCAGAGGAUGCUUCGGGUGCAGCCCCCGUCUAAGUUGCCCUGGAACGGGCCGUCAUAGAGGGUGAGAAUCCCGUCUGGGACGGGGUGUCUGCGUCCGUGUGAAGCUCCUUCGACGAGUCGAGUUGUUUGGGAAUGCAGCUCUAAAUGGGUGGUAAAUUUCAUCUAAAGCUAAAUACUGGCCGGAGACCGAUAGCGCACAAGUAGAGUGAUCGAAAGAUGAAAAGCACUUUGAAAAGAGAGUUAAACAGCACGUGAAAUUGUUGAAAGGGAAGCGUUUGCGACCAGACUCGCCCGCGGGGUUCAGCCGGCAUUCGUGCCGGUGUACUUCCCCGUGGGCGGGCCAGCGUCGGUUUGGGCGGCCGGUCAAAGGCCCUCGGAAUGUAUCACCCCUCGGGGUGUCUUAUAGCCGAGGGUGCAAUGCGGCCUGCCCGGACCGAGGAACGCGCUUCGGCUCGGACGCUGGCGUAAUGGUCGUAAAUGAC
Molecule: ribosomal RNA, 576 nt
Filed under: Aspergillus spinosus
Lineage: Eukaryota; Fungi; Ascomycota; Eurotiomycetes; Eurotiales; Aspergillaceae
Description: eukaryotic LSU rRNA
Rfam family: Eukaryotic large subunit ribosomal RNA
Source: RNAcentral